Tupaia belangeri chinensis (Chinese tree shrew) is the source of this 660-nucleotide long non-coding RNA. RefSeq lists it as uncharacterized. Lineage: Eukaryota; Metazoa; Chordata; Mammalia; Scandentia; Tupaiidae. The record is from RefSeq and is a predicted model, not a curated record. The transcript is spliced from 2 exons.
CUCUUAUAAAUAUAUAGGCAGAAUUGGGGUCCUGGAAGUCAGGGAGCAGUGAGUCCAGGAGCCUUCAGGCCAGCUCCACCUGUCCACCAGGAGGAUGAAGGUCUCCAUGGCUGCCUUCUCCUUCCUCAUCCUCACUGCUGUGCUUGGAUCCCAGGCUCGGGUCAUAGAUGACACAGAAAGAAGACAAUUGAUGGCAGAGCAUCAGUUUGAACUGCCUUCAGCAGACAAUGGAAAGAACAGACUGUGUUGAGUGGGGAAGUGGAGGGGCAGGAAGAAUGGGACACUAUCUCCAUUUGCAGAACACAGCUCAAAAUCUCCCCUCAUAUACUCCCCAGUUUCCUCACCACCAAGGGGCAACAUGUGUGUGCUAAUCCCAGCAAUGUGAGAGUUCAGAAUUGCAUGAAGAACCUGAACCUCAUGUCCAAGGACCUUAACCUAGAUGCAAUAAUCAAGGACAUGAAGCUGGAAACAAAGAAUGAGGACCUAGAAACAAUGAAACUUGCUUGAGAAAAAGGAACACAAGUUGCCAGUCAGCUUCCCUCCAACUCUCUUAUCCCAGUACCUCCCAGGAGUUCCUUGACCUGAAUUAUUCUUUUUAAAAACAAUUAUUUUUCUGUUCUGGCUUUAAAGCAAUGCAUCGAAUAAAGAGUAUCUAAUUUA